RNAcentral lists this non-coding RNA (248 nucleotides) under Oscillibacter sp. RNAcentral's name for it is "T-box sequence". It matches the Rfam family "T-box leader". Rfam says of the family: Uncharged tRNA acts as the effector for transcription antitermination of genes in the T-box leader family. T-boxes are found upstream of many aminoacyl-tRNA synthetase genes and some amino acid biosynthetic genes usually in Gram-positive bacteria. The record is from RNAcentral. Lineage: Bacteria; Bacillati; Bacillota; Clostridia; Eubacteriales; Oscillospiraceae.
GCAAAGGCGUUGAUGGAGAAAAGUACCGCGGAUGUUCCGGGCCAGUGAGCGGGGGAUGGUGAGAACCCCGUACCAAAGAGUCCGCGGGAAGAACACUCCGUAGCUGUGAUCUGAACGCGGGAGACCGCCAGUAAGUGAAACGAGUCGUGACCGUUACCUCACGCGGGCUUGUUGGAGCCUAGUCAAAGAGGUCCCCGAUCAGGGGGCAAGUCAGGUGGCACCGCGGAUCGCAGCUAUUCGUCCUGAAA